This 672-nucleotide ribosomal RNA is filed under the name uncultured Lachnospiraceae bacterium. Its description in RNAcentral is "bacterial SSU rRNA". It matches the Rfam family "Bacterial small subunit ribosomal RNA", at positions 50 to 740 of the family's 1533-position model. Lineage: Bacteria; Bacillati; Bacillota; Clostridia; Lachnospirales; Lachnospiraceae. The record is from RNAcentral.
GAAGCAGUUAAGUUGAUUUCUUCGGAUUGAUUCUUAACUGACUGAGCGGCGGACGGGUGAGUAACGCGUGGGUGACCUGCCCCAUACCGGGGGAUAACAGCUGGAAACGGCUGCUAAUACCGCAUAAGCGCACAGAGCUGCAUGGCUCGGUGUGAAAAACUCCGGUGGUAUGGGAUGGGCCCGCGUCUGAUUAGGCAGUUGGCGGGGUAACGGCCCACCAAACCGACGAUCAGUAGCCGGCCUGAGAGGGCGACCGGCCACAUUGGGACUGAGACACGGCCCAAACUCCUACGGGAGGCAGCAGUGGGGAAUAUUGCACAAUGGGGGAAACCCUGAUGCAGCGACGCCGCGUGAGUGAAGAAGUAUCUCGGUAUGUAAAGCUCUAUCAGCAGGGAAGAAAAUGACGGUACCUGACUAAGAAGCACCGGCUAAAUACGUGCCAGCAGCCGCGGUAAUACGUAUGGUGCAAGCGUUAUCCGGAUUUACUGGGUGUAAAGGGAGCGUAGACGGAUGGGCAAGUCUGAUGUGAAAACCCGGGGCUCAACCCCGGGACUGCAUUGGAAACUGUUCAUCUAGAGUGCUGGAGAGGUAAGUGGAAUUCCUAGUGUAGCGGUGAAAUGCGUAGAUAUUAGGAGGAACACCAGUGGCGAAGGCGGCUUACUGGACAGUAAC